Molecule: unclassified non-coding RNA, 240 nt
Filed under: soil metagenome
Description: partial contains 5.8S ribosomal RNA, internal transcribed spacer 2, and large subunit ribosomal RNA
Source: RNAcentral
AACGGUCUAUACCUGCGGUACCUGCGGAAGGAUCAUUACCGAGUGCGGGCCCUCGCGGCCCAACCUCCCACCCUUGUCUCUAUACACCUGUUGCUUUGGCGGGCCCACCGGGGCCACCUGGUCGCCGGGGGACGUCCGUCCCCGGGCCCGUGCCCGCCGAAGCGCUCUGUGAACCCUGAUGAAGAUGGGCUGUCUGAGUACUAUGAAAAUUGUCAAAACUUUUAACAAUGGAUCUCUAGA